Non-coding RNA from Paramuricea clavata, 2529 nucleotides. NCBI's taxonomy places the organism in Eukaryota, Metazoa, Cnidaria, Anthozoa, Malacalcyonacea, Plexauridae. The record is from the annotation of a GenBank genome assembly.
CUAUUUUAUUAAAUUUUGAUAAUGCAGAGGAAUAAAACUAUACAUAUUAUAGAAGUAUUCAUGUUUUUUUUAUGCGAGAGUUAUGUUUUGAGGCAUUUAUAUCAUUCGCUGUUUUGUUAUUUAUACACGAGCAUCUGAAAUUCCCAGCAAGUGUAUUUCACGAUUUUAAUAAGAAGUAGAUAGGGAAAAAAACAAACUUUUGCUAAAUAAAAUGUUAUAUUAACACUUUUAAUAAAAAGAAAUCAAUAAAAGUGAUUGCUUACCGUUACUCUUGAAGAAUUAAUUCCAAAAAUAGCCGUCGGUAGCGUAGACUUUUUAAAAAAACAAUUUUUCGUCUUUCGAACGGCGUUUUCCUAUCUCUUUCCUUAUUAAAUUUCAGAACGACACUUGCCAGCGCUCGCCGGAAGUGAGAAUUCCGUGUGACACAAAACAAUCAGCAAUUUCACAGGAGAUUCACAUCUGUACUUACCUCAUCUGUGGUAUAGCUCAGUGAUGCCGCCGCUUUACUUCGGUAAUGUAGCAGCUUGAAUAAGAUUGUUUUUUAUUGGUCAGAGUACUAAUUGGGUAGCGAAGGUAGCAGCUUGAAUAAGAUUGUUUUUUAUUGGUCAGAGUACUAAUUGGGUAGCGAAGGUAGCAAACCAAUAGGAAGCCAGAGACUGUCAACAUUUACCUUUGAACUUCCGGUUUAUUUGUAAGAUGAACAAGCAACUGGCCAAGAAAUUGAGCAAAAAUAUAGCUGAGAAUACCCGAGUCUUUGUUUCUAAACUUGAAUGUAUUAAUAAAUCGUUCUGUGUAUGCAAUGUAAGUAUCAUUUAAUAAUGAGUAGCGUAAAGAUGUAAACGCACUUUUUGCGGCUUAUUACAGUAAAAGCAAGUAUUGUAUUGUUUGUCACGUUGUUAAAUUCGCUAAACUUCUGUGUGAAUGUGAUAGACUACCUGGCGUUCCCUCGAAACGUCGAAGUUUUGUCUAUUUAUUUUCAGGUAGGCUGUCACAUUCACACCAAGAUUUACGCAGAUGUUUUAUCGAAGAUUCUACCAGCGGUCAAGCGGCAAGCGUUCGAGAUAAAUUCGCUAAUAUUGCAUAAAAACACGAUGUAGUUAUAUUAUAUCUAUUUCACUUUAUAGAAUGUUUAUCUACAGCUGCACCCAAGACGAAAUACAUUAAUCCGUGUUCGUGUUGUCAGCAAGUAGUUGGAUAGUUUUUUCCACCGGCACAUAAUUUCGUGAACAAAGACGAGACAUAGGACUAUUUUAAAAACGAUGACAACAUUAUGUUGACAACAACAUACUGUACAGUAUUUAAUAAUGUUGUCUUUUUAUAAAUUAUAGUUGUACAUUUGCCUUUUUAUGUCAAUUACAGUAAACUUAUUUCAAUUUAAUAUCGUGUGAUUUCACCACAUGCUUGAAUCAGGUUGUUUUACAUUAUAUGAUUAUACUUUGUCAGUUUAUAUAAUUUUUAAACCGAAAUCCUCACAUGUAUGAUGUAUCCUCCUGACCACACAACUCACAAGUUAAACAUGUGUUAAUCAGAUACACAUGACACCAUUAGGUAGCCUUAUGGAGAUACCUAAUAGGAUAUGGAAACACAGCUAGUAGCUAUUGCAAAACUAAAAGGUAUAAAUUGUGAUGAACAAAAAGAAAAUAUAUAUGUUUUUUAUAGACAUAGGGAUGCCAGAGAGAGGGGCAAAUCUGGGAGCGAUUGCAGAAUACCGGUCCACUUUUGAUAGGUUGUUAAACCGAAUAAAUGAAUUAAAAGAUUAUUUCAAAACAGUUCACAAUUAAAAUUUAAAGAUAAAACUACAAGAAUAUGUUGCUUGUAGUUAAAUUCAAUGCCGGAGUCUUUAAAGAACGAAGCAUUUAAAAUUGACAUUCUUUUCUGAUUUCGCCAUGUUUACAAGGAAUUAAUAGGUGUAAUAUGUCAAAGUGGACGGGUAUUCUGCAAUCUAACCCAAAUCUGCUCUUUUCUAAGGGGGCUGAAGUGCCCUUUUAAUGUAACGUGUGCAUAUGCUAAAACCUCCAAAUACAAGAGACUUCAACAGUAAAUCUGAUUGAUUAUUUUAUGUUGAGACUUUAUAUUGCUUUAAUAAGCAUCAACCACAGAUGUGCCUCAAAGGGAAAUUACAGUAGGCCCCUUGUCAUUUAUUAAUAGGGUCUCAUGUCCUUUGUGUAGAAAAGUUGCAAUUAAAUGAGCAGAAAUUUGAAUUACAACAAAUUUAAAGGCUAAAUAUGCUUUCAAUAUAAUAUGACCAAUUGCCCUUACAUUUGCCGACUGUCCCUUGCCAUUUGCCGACUUCCUUUUGCCCUACCACUGCUCCAACAUCCCAUAAAUAUGAAUUAAAUAUCUAAAGGAUUGGUUCAAGGUAAUACACCUAACAACUAGUGAUGAACCUGAAUAUGCAUAUGCACCCACAAUUAUCAUUUUACUGCAGUCUAACACAAAACAUCCUUACUUAUCAGGAGUAAUAAUAUUAGUUAAUGGGUAAUAGAACUAUCUGCCAGUGUCUUGUUAAAACCAUUAAUUAUUUAAUCG